ACAGACACCGGUUCCCGUACGAUCACCGAAGUUAAGCAACGUUGAGCUUGCUCAGCACAUAAAUGGGUGGCCACGAGAGAAUACCAGUUGCUGUCAG
Molecule: non-coding RNA, 97 nt
Organism: Acanthosepion pharaonis
Lineage: Eukaryota; Metazoa; Mollusca; Cephalopoda; Sepiida; Sepiidae
Source: the annotation of a GenBank genome assembly